CAACAGGGAUUGCCCCAGUAACGGCGAGUGAAGCGGCAACAGCUCAAAUUUGAAAUCUGGCUCUCGGGCCCGAGUUGUAAUUUGUAGAGGAUGCUUUUGGUGAGGUGCCUUCCGAGUUCCCUGGAACGGGACGCCAUAGAGGGUGAGAGCCCCGUCUGGUUGGACGCCGAACCUCUGUAAAGCUCCUUCGACGAGUCGAGUAGUUUGGGAAUGCUGCUCUAAAUGGGAGGUAUAUGUCUUCUAAAGCUAAAUACCGGCCAGAGACCGAUAGCGCACAAGUAGAGUGAUCGAAAGAUGAAAAGAACUUUGAAAAGAGAGUUAAACAGUACGUGAAAUUGUUGAAAGGGAAGCGCUUGUGACCAGACUUGGGCUUGGUUGAUCAUCCGGGGUUCUCCCCGGUGCACUCUUCCGGCCCAGGCCAGCAUCAGUUCGCCCUGGGGGACAAAGGCAUCGGGAACGUGGCUCUCUCCGGGGAGUGUUAUAGCCCGUUGCGUAAUACCCUGUGGCGGACUGAGGUUCGCGCAUUCGCAAGGAU
This 535-nucleotide ribosomal RNA is filed under the name Fusarium solani. RNAcentral's name for it is "eukaryotic LSU rRNA". It matches the Rfam family "Eukaryotic large subunit ribosomal RNA", at positions 66 to 624 of the family's 3401-position model. Lineage: Eukaryota; Fungi; Ascomycota; Sordariomycetes; Hypocreales; Nectriaceae. The record is from RNAcentral.